GGUACAGAGGGAUGCUACCGGGCGACCGGAUGCGGAUCUCGAAAGCCUGUCCCAGUUCGGACUGGAGUCUGCAACCCGACUCCACGAAGUUGGAUUCGCUAGUAAUCGCGCAUCAGCCAUGGCGCGGUGAAUACGUUCCCGGGCCUUGUACACACCGCCCGUCAAGCCAUGGGAGCCGGGGGCGCCUGAAGUCCGGGACCGCGGGGACCGGCCUAGGGCGAAACUGGUAACUGGGGCUAAGUCGUAACAAGGUAUC
RNAcentral lists this ribosomal RNA (256 nucleotides) under uncultured bacterium. RNAcentral's name for it is "partial 16S ribosomal RNA". It matches the Rfam family "Bacterial small subunit ribosomal RNA", at positions 1236 to 1500 of the family's 1533-position model. The record is from RNAcentral.